Molecule: ribosomal RNA, 369 nt
Filed under: uncultured bacterium
Lineage: Bacteria
Description: bacterial SSU rRNA
Rfam family: Bacterial small subunit ribosomal RNA
Source: RNAcentral
GUAGGGUGCAAGCGUUAAUCGGAAUUACUGGGCGUAAAGCGUGCGCAGGCGGUGAUGUAAGACAGAUGUGAAAUCCCCGGGCUCAACCUGGGAACUGCAUUUGUGACUGCAUCGCUAGAGUACGGCAGAGGGGGAUGGAAUUCCGCGUGUAGCAGUGAAAUGCGUAGAUAUGCGGAGGAACACCGAUGGCGAAGGCAAUCCCCUGGGCCUGUACUGACGCUCAUGCACGAAAGCGUGGGGAGCAAACAGGAUUAGAUACCCUGGUAGUCCACGCCCUAAACGAUGUCAACUGGUUGUUGGGUCUUCACUGACUCAGUAACGAAGCUAACGCGUGAAGUUGACCGCCUGGGGAGUACGGCCGCAGGGUUG